GCCUGGCUGGCUCAGUCAGUGGAGUGUGUGACUCUUGAUCUUGGGGUUGUGAGUUCGAACCCCACGUUGGGUA
RNAcentral lists this transfer RNA (73 nucleotides) under Felis catus (domestic cat). It matches the Rfam family "tRNA". From Rfam's summary of the family: Transfer RNA (tRNA) molecules are approximately 80 nucleotides in length. Their secondary structure includes four short double-helical elements and three loops (D, anti-codon, and T loops). Further hydrogen bonds mediate the characteristic L-shaped molecular structure. tRNAs have two regions of fundamental functional importance: the anti-codon, which is responsible for specific mRNA codon recognition, and the 3' end, to which the tRNAs corresponding amino acid is attached (by aminoacyl-tRNA synthetases). tRNAs cope with the degeneracy of the genetic code in two manners: having more than one tRNA (with a specific anti-codon) for a particular amino acid; and 'wobble' base-pairing, i.e. permitting non-standard base-pairing at the 3rd anti-codon position. Lineage: Eukaryota; Metazoa; Chordata; Mammalia; Carnivora; Felidae. The record is from Rfam by way of RNAcentral.